GUGCAUACAAACAGUAGGAGCCCGUGCUUGCAUGGGUGACUGCGUACCUUUUGUAUAAUGGGUCAGCGACUUACAUUCAGUGGCGAGGUUAACCGAAUAGGGGAGCCGAAGAGAAAUCGAGUCCGAACAGGGCGAAAGUCGCUGAGUGUAGACCCGAAACCAAGUGAUCUACUCAUGGCCAGGAUGAAGGUGCGGUAACACGCACUGGAGGUCCGAACCCACUAACGUUGAAAAGUUAGGGGAUGAGCUGUGGGUAGGGGUGAAAGGCUAAACAAACUUGGAGAUAGCUGGUUCUCUCCGAAAGCUAUUUAGGUAGUGCCUCAAGUAUCACCACUAGGGGUAGAGCACUGUUAUGGCUAGGGGGUCAUCGCGACUUACCAAACCAUUGCAAACUCCGAAUACUAGUGAGUGCGAGCUUGGGAGACAGACACCGGGUGCUAACGUCCGAUGUCAAGAGGGAAACAACCCAGACCGCCAGCUAAGGUCCCAAAGAUUGGCUAAGUGGAAAACGAAGUGGGAAGGCUAAAACAGUCAGGAGGUUGGCUUAGAAGCAGCCAUCCUUUAAAGAAAGCGUAAUAGCUCACUGAUCGAGUCGUCCUGCGCGGAAGAUGUAACGGGGCUAAGCCAGUCACCGAAGCUGCGGAUAUCCUGUAUGGGAUAUGGUAGGAGAGCGUUCUGUAAGCCUGAGAAGGUGUGUUGAGAAGCAUGCUGGAGGUAUCAGAAGUGCGAAUGCUGACAUGAGUAGCGAUAAUGGGGGUGAAAGGCCCCCACGCCGUAAGCCCAAGGUUUCCUGUUCAACGUUCAUCGGAGCAGGGUGAGUCGGCCCCUAAGGCGAGGCAGAGAUGCGUAGCUGAUGGGAAGCAGGUUAAUAUUCCUGCACCGUCGUUAGAUGCGAUGGGGGGACGGAUCGCGGAAAGUCGUCCGGGUGUUGGAAGUCCCGGUUCUUGAUUCGAAGGAGGCUGCUAGGCAAAUCCGGCAGCGUAAUCCAAGGGAUUGAGACGAGUGGCCUUGUGCCGCGAAGCGAUUGGAAGUGGUUCCAAGAAAAGCCUCUAAGCUUCAGUCUAACGAGACCGUACCGCAAACCGACACAGGUGGGCGAGAUGAGUAUUCUAAGGCGCUUGAGAGAACUCGGGAGAAGGAACUCGGCAAAUUGGUACCGUAACUUCGGGAUAAGGUACGCCCUUGUAUCUUGACUGGCCUGCGCCAGGAGGGAGAAGGGGUUGCAAUAAAAAGGUGGCUGCGACUGUUUAUUAAAAACACAGCACUCUGCAAAGACGAAAGUCGACGUAUAGGGUGUGACGCCUGCCCGGUGCUGGAAGAUUAAAUGAUGGGGUGAGAGCUCUUGAUUGAAGUCCCAGUAAACGGCGGCCGUAACUAUAACGGUCCUAAGGUAGCGAAAUUCCUUGUCGGGUAAGUUCCGACCUGCACGAAUGGCAUAACGAUGGCCACACUGUCUCCUCCCGAGACUCAGUGAAGUUGAAAUGUUUGUGAUGAUGCAAUCUACCCGCGGCUAGACGGAAAGACCCCAUGAACCUUUACUGUAGCUUUACAUUGGACUUUGAACCGAUCUGUGUAGGAUAGGUGGGAGGCUUUGAAGCGUGAACGCUAGUUUGCGUGGAGCCGACCUUGAAAUACCACCCUGAUUUGUUUGAGGUUCUAACCUUGGACCGUUAUCCGGGUUGGGGACCGUGCAUGGUAGGCAGUUUGACUGGGGCGGUCUCCUCCAAAAGCGUAACGGAGGAGUGCGAAGGUACGCUAGGUACGGUCGGACAUCGUGCUGAUAGUGCAAUGGCAUAAGCGUGCUUAACUGCGAGACCCACAAGUCGAGC
Molecule: ribosomal RNA, 1829 nt
Filed under: human gut metagenome
Description: bacterial LSU rRNA
Rfam family: Bacterial large subunit ribosomal RNA
Source: RNAcentral